This 351-nucleotide ribosomal RNA is filed under the name uncultured cyanobacterium. Its description in RNAcentral is "bacterial SSU rRNA". It matches the Rfam family "Bacterial small subunit ribosomal RNA", at positions 110 to 496 of the family's 1533-position model. Lineage: Bacteria; Bacillati; Cyanobacteriota. The record is from RNAcentral.
GUAACGCGUGAGAAUCUGCCUUGAGGAUGGGGACAACAGUUGGAAACGACUGCUAAUACCCGAUGUGCCGGAAGGUGAAAAUUUUUUGCCUCAAGAGGAGCUCGCGUCUGAUUAGCUAGUUGGUGGGGUAAAAGCGUACCAAGGCAACGAUCAGUAGCUGGUCUGAGAGGAUGAGCAGCCACACUGGGACUGAGACACGGCCCAGACUCCUACGGGAGGCAGCAGUGGGGAAUUUUCCGCAAUGGGCGAAAGCCUGACGGAGCAAUACCGCGUGAGGGAGGAAGGCCUUUGGGUUGUAAACCUCUUUUCUCAGGGAAGAAGAUCUGACGGUACCUGAGGAAUAAGCAUCGG